Molecule: ribosomal RNA, 629 nt
Filed under: Bacillus sp. (in: firmicutes)
Lineage: Bacteria; Bacillati; Bacillota; Bacilli; Caryophanales; Bacillaceae
Description: bacterial SSU rRNA
Rfam family: Bacterial small subunit ribosomal RNA
Source: RNAcentral
AUACAUGCAAGUCGAGCGGACAGAUGGGAGCUUGCUCCCUGAUGUUAGCGGCGGACGGGUGAGUAACACGUGGGUAACCUGCCUGUAAGACUGGGAUAACUCCGGGAAACCGGGGCUAAUACCGGAUGCUUGUUUGAACCGCAUGGUUCAAGCAUAAAAGGUGGCUUCGGCUACCACUUACAGAUGGACCCGCGGCGCAUUAGCUAGUUGGUGAGGUAAUGGCUCACCAAGGCAACGAUGCGUAGCCGACCUGAGAGGGUGAUCGGCCACACUGGGACUGAGACACGGCCCAGACUCCUACGGGAGGCAGCAGUAGGGAAUCUUCCGCAAUGGACGAAAGUCUGACGGAGCAACGCCGCGUGAGUGAUGAAGGUUUUCGGAUCGUAAAGCUCUGUUGUUAGGGAAGAACAAGUACCGUUCGAAUAGGGCGGUACCUUGACGGUACCUAACCAGAAAGCCACGGCUAACUACGUGCCAGCAGCCGCGGUAAUACGUAGGUGGCAAGCGUUGUCCGGAAUUAUUGGGCGUAAAGGGCUCGCAGGCGGUUUCUUAAGUCUGAUGUGAAAGCCCCCGGCUCAACCGGGGAGGGUCAUUGGAAACUGGGGAACUUGAGUGCAGAAGAGGAGAGU